CCCUUAGAUGUUCUGGGCCGCACGCGCGCUACACUGAUUCAUGCAACAAGUUUUGUCCUUGGCUGAUAGGCCUGGGUAAUCUUUGAACGUGAAUCGUGAUGGGGAUAGAUGAUUGCAAUUAUUCAUCUUCAACGAGGAAUUCCUAGUAAACGAAAGUCAUCAGCUUGCAUUGAUUACGUCCCUGCCCUUUGUACACACCGCCCGUCGCACCUACCGAUUGAAUGGUCCGGUGAAAUCUUCGGAUCUGAGAGAUGUCUGAUUAAUUUCGGACGCCUUUUGGAAAAGUUGUUUAAACCUUACCAUUUAGAGGAAGGUGAAGUCGUAACA
RNAcentral lists this ribosomal RNA (327 nucleotides) under uncultured eukaryote. RNAcentral's name for it is "partial 18S ribosomal RNA". It matches the Rfam family "Eukaryotic small subunit ribosomal RNA", at positions 1470 to 1796 of the family's 1831-position model. The record is from RNAcentral.